This 418-nucleotide long non-coding RNA is filed under the name Malus domestica (apple). RNAcentral describes it as "long non-coding RNA (MDOM_LNC001855)". The record is from RNAcentral. Lineage: Eukaryota; Viridiplantae; Streptophyta; Magnoliopsida; Rosales; Rosaceae.
AAAUGCUCUGUAGAUCUCGCAACGCAUUUUAGCUUCAGACUGCGUAGUGCAAGGAUCUAAAUGAGAUAUAAUAGGGGUCAUAUGUGACAAUUCACAGCAUUCUUAUCUCCCCUUAACGACGGGAAGUCUGUCUUAUCGAAGUGACAGUCUGCAAAACAUACGGUAAAGAGAUUGUAUGUCAAGGCCUCUAAAUAGUAAAGAGAUUCAAUAUGACAAUUAUUCUCUUGAAUAUCUCUAAAACUCAUCAAUGUUCUUUUAGAUUGGGGAGAAUAAAUGGCCUCUUUAAUGGUUAAUUUAGUACAAUUGAACAACAUUAUAUAGAUCGUUAUGUACCCUUCAAUCAGGUUGGAUGAGCCUGAGAGGGUUGUCAAUGGUGCAUUUUUAGGUACGAAGUUUGAGAAAUAGUGUAGCACAUGCA